This 82-nucleotide transfer RNA is filed under the name Cronartium comandrae C4. RNAcentral describes it as "tRNA-Ser (CGA) (tRNA-Ser-CGA-2-1)". It matches the Rfam family "tRNA". From Rfam's summary of the family: Transfer RNA (tRNA) molecules are approximately 80 nucleotides in length. Their secondary structure includes four short double-helical elements and three loops (D, anti-codon, and T loops). Further hydrogen bonds mediate the characteristic L-shaped molecular structure. tRNAs have two regions of fundamental functional importance: the anti-codon, which is responsible for specific mRNA codon recognition, and the 3' end, to which the tRNAs corresponding amino acid is attached (by aminoacyl-tRNA synthetases). tRNAs cope with the degeneracy of the genetic code in two manners: having more than one tRNA (with a specific anti-codon) for a particular amino acid; and 'wobble' base-pairing, i.e. permitting non-standard base-pairing at the 3rd anti-codon position. RNAcentral also lists the same sequence under 1 other name. The record is from RNAcentral. Lineage: Eukaryota; Fungi; Basidiomycota; Pucciniomycetes; Pucciniales; Coleosporiaceae.
GACAGGAUGGCCGAGCGGUUAAGGCGGUAGUUUCGAAAGCUACUCCUCUUUGAGGGCGUGAGUUCAAAUCUCACUUCUGUCG